UGCAGUCGAACGGUAACAGGGUGCUUGCACCGCUGACGAGUGGCGAACGGGUGAGUAAUGCGUCGGAACGUGCCGAGUAGUGGGGGAUAACGCAGCGAAAGUUGUGCUAAUACCGCAUACGUACUGAGGUAGAAAGUGGGGGACCUUCGGGCCUCACGCUAUUCGAGCGGCCGACGUCUGAUUAGCUAGUAGGUGAGGUAAAGGCUCACCUAGGCGACGAUCAGUAGCGGGUCUGAGAGGAUGAUCCGCCACACUGGGACUGAGACACGGCCCAGACUCCUACGGGAGGCAGCAGUGGGGAAUUUUGGACAAUGGGCGAAAGCCUGAUCCAGCCAUGCCGCGUGUCUGAAGAAGGCCUUCGGGUUGUAAAGGACUUUUGUCAGGGAGGAAAUCCCUAGCGUUAAUACCGCUGGGGGAUGACAGUACCUGAAGAAUAAGCACCGGCUAACUACGUGCC
This 457-nucleotide ribosomal RNA is filed under the name activated sludge bacterium OC24. Its description in RNAcentral is "bacterial SSU rRNA". It matches the Rfam family "Bacterial small subunit ribosomal RNA", at positions 56 to 509 of the family's 1533-position model. The record is from RNAcentral.